This 100-nucleotide non-coding RNA is filed under the name pig gut metagenome. RNAcentral's name for it is "THF riboswitch". It matches the Rfam family "THF (Tetrahydrofolate) riboswitch aptamer". From Rfam's summary of the family: THF riboswitch presents a pseudoknot that joins P1-P2 and the loop of P3 and two THF binding. The record is from RNAcentral.
GCAGAGUAGGUAAGCAUGUGUCCAGUGCCCGGAGGACGGGGAGUUGUCUCCGGGACGAAGAACGGUAUCCUGUCGCAGUGUGCUUACCGCAUCCCGCUGC